UGGGUUGUGGCUCAGCAGUAGAGUGCUUGCCUUGCAUGUGUGAGGCCCUGAGUUCGAUCCUCAGCACCACAU
Molecule: transfer RNA, 72 nt
Filed under: Ictidomys tridecemlineatus (thirteen-lined ground squirrel)
Lineage: Eukaryota; Metazoa; Chordata; Mammalia; Rodentia; Sciuridae
Description: Spermophilus tridecemlineatus (thirteen-lined ground squirrel) tRNA
Rfam family: tRNA
About the family: Transfer RNA (tRNA) molecules are approximately 80 nucleotides in length. Their secondary structure includes four short double-helical elements and three loops (D, anti-codon, and T loops). Further hydrogen bonds mediate the characteristic L-shaped molecular structure. tRNAs have two regions of fundamental functional importance: the anti-codon, which is responsible for specific mRNA codon recognition, and the 3' end, to which the tRNAs corresponding amino acid is attached (by aminoacyl-tRNA synthetases). tRNAs cope with the degeneracy of the genetic code in two manners: having more than one tRNA (with a specific anti-codon) for a particular amino acid; and 'wobble' base-pairing, i.e. permitting non-standard base-pairing at the 3rd anti-codon position.
Source: Rfam by way of RNAcentral